This 529-nucleotide ribosomal RNA is filed under the name uncultured bacterium. RNAcentral's name for it is "bacterial SSU rRNA". It matches the Rfam family "Bacterial small subunit ribosomal RNA", at positions 777 to 1304 of the family's 1533-position model. The record is from RNAcentral.
AAUAGAUACCCGGGUAGUCCACGCCGUAAACGAUGAGUACUAGUUAUUGGAGGUAUUGACUCCUUCAGUGACGCAGCUAACGCAUUAAGUACUCCGCCUGGGAAGUACGGUCGCAAGACUAAAACUCAAACAAAUUGACGGGGGCCCGCACAAGCGGUGGAUUAUGUGGUUUAAUUCGAAGCAACGCGCAGAACCUUACCUAGGCUUGAACUCCUACGAAUCCGGGGUAAUGCCUGGAGUGUCCGCAAGGAAAUGUAGUGAGAGGUGCUGCAUGGCUGUCGUCAGCUCGUGUUGUGAAAUGUUGGGUUAAGUCUCGCAACGAGCGCAACCCCUAUCGUCUGUUGCCAGCAUUAAGUUGGGCACUCUGACGAGACUGCCUGGGUUAACCAGGAGGAAGGUGGGGAUGACGUCAAGUCCUCAUGGCCCUUAUGUCUAGGGCUACACACGUAAUACAAUGGCGCGUACAAAGGGAAGCGAACUCGCAAGGGGAAGCAAAUCUCAAAAAGCGCGCCUCAGUUCGGAUUGGAGU